This is a long non-coding RNA of Salvia miltiorrhiza (redroot sage), 534 nucleotides long. RefSeq lists it as uncharacterized. The record is from RefSeq and is a predicted model, not a curated record. NCBI's taxonomy places the organism in Eukaryota, Viridiplantae, Streptophyta, Magnoliopsida, Lamiales, Lamiaceae. The transcript has 2 exons.
CCAAAUCCCUCAUUUACGAUUACUAUUCAAAAUCUCAUAUCACAAUCUCUCUCUUUCUCUCUCUCUCUCUAUUCAAAAUCGCUCACCAUAACCGAAAGUUUGCACCUUCUUGUCAAGAAAUCUGAUGCGCCACUGCGACUCUGAAAAUCCAGCGACGCCGUGUCUUCCUCUGGAAUCGACAUCCCUCACCAAUCAUCGUCACACACCGAGGUCUUCGCUUUCAAAUGAUCGCCUCUGCUUUUAGGAUUUCCGGCGAGGCUAGUUGGCGUCGCCGACCGAAUUCGGCGUGCGACCGACCAAGAAUGACCGGCGACCACUGCCCGAUUUUGAGAAGGAGCCUGUGUUCAACCAUGACUUUGAGAAGAUGGAGGGCAUGGAACGGCGGCGAUUGGACUGGCUGUGGACGGAGUUUUCGUCAAAUUGAAUGAGCAAUUUUAGAAUUUUGGGGAUAUUCAUGCGUCCAAUAAAUCUGAAUUUAUCUGUUCAUUUAGAUAUUGUGUUCUGUUCAUUUAUAAAUUAUUUUCUGUUCAUUUA